CCAUGGCACAGUGGAAGAGCAUCUGCUUGGCAUGUAGAAGGUGCUGGGUUCAAUCCCUGUAAGUUCCAGUGAAAAGG
RNAcentral lists this transfer RNA (77 nucleotides) under Sphaerodactylus townsendi. RNAcentral's name for it is "tRNA-Ala". Lineage: Eukaryota; Metazoa; Chordata; Lepidosauria; Squamata; Sphaerodactylidae. The record is from RNAcentral.